Long non-coding RNA from Felis catus (domestic cat), 19943 nucleotides. RefSeq lists it as uncharacterized. The record is from RefSeq and is a predicted model, not a curated record. The transcript has 6 exons. NCBI's taxonomy places the organism in Eukaryota, Metazoa, Chordata, Mammalia, Carnivora, Felidae.
CUCUGAAGAAAAUUCUGUUUGUCCUGCCUAGACUCACUCAUGUGGCCCUUGGCAGCUCAACUGGAUGGGCUGGGUCUCUGGCCUGUCAUACCGGUCUUCUUCACAAUAUGGUGGUGUCAAGAUUCCAAGACCAUAGCCCCAGUGAUCUUCAUAAAGUAAUGAAUAAUAUUUACAUUUGGAAGAAAGAAGAGGGAAGAAGAUUAAAAAAAAAAAGAAAGAAGAGAUUGUUAUUUUGAGAAAACGACUAUUUAAAGUUGUCUUCAUAUGGACACUUGCUGAUUGCACAGCAUCUGCAAGCUGAAACAUCCAAAUGGUUGAGAUAUAAAGGCAGUUCUUUAUCCAGUUGACAAGAACUUUUUCUGAACUACCCUUGUCUGUGCAAGUGGCAGAAUGGUUAAAUUAGGCUGGAGCUACCUUCCAUCUACUCCCCAGACAUCAGAGCAAGAAAUGGUGGUUCUAGGCAGAUACAGCUGAGUUCAAGUUCCUUCUGCAGCGAGAUUUCCUUCCCGUCAGGAUGUGGCUGCAUUCUACCUAGUGAUUUUACUGAUGGAUAACUUAAAAUAGUGGGAGAUGCUGUUGGAAAUCUGUGCCCUGCAGCCUGAUCACCAAUGGCCAGCACCUGCAUCUGUAUAAGAGGGCUGGCUUCAGGCUGCUGGAAUCUACUCUGCCAGUAUGGAACAGUCCAAAUAAAACAGAAUCAGAGCUUGAACUCAUGACCACUGACCUCUGACCUGGAUGAAGUUACACAUCUCAUUCUACAUUUACCAUAUUAAACCAAUCCACAAAGAAAAAAACUUCCUAGAACAGUAUAUUAUCUCCUAUUUCUAUUCCUUGUCUUUCUGCUUCCUUCUAUAGAAACUCCUCUUCUUGAUCUGUCUUUCCCCUGCUAUGUUCCCCACUAAUAGAGCACAUUUCCAUCACUCCUUGGAUCUACUACUUCCCAUGACCUUAAGUUGUCAACUUCUUUGAAUUUUUAAAGAUCAUUCCUUUUAUUAAACUAUAGUAGCAUCUGCAUAAAAUGUAUUUUACCAAAGCAUGAUCUGUAAAACCUAAAAAAUGAAGACAGCAAGUGUUGGAGGCUAUGAGGGUGACCCAGAGAAUCCUUGGUCAAUAGAAGGACAGGAGGCAGCAGUCAUUGGGUAAGGUGCCUUUCUUUUAAUAAAAUGCACUAGGGACUCAGUGCCCAUAGCCCUGUUCUCAGCAUGGCCAGGAGGAAGCAAGCAUUUACAUAGCUACUCAACACUGAAAGGCUACUGUCAGUUGCAUCUCUUGCAACUAAAAUAUGAAUGUAAGGAUUGUCAAAAUGGGGAGAGAUGUAGGUGAGGAAGAAAACAUCACAAGGGGAGCGUAUGUAGAUUAGAUGUCUUGCCCUGCUGUGCUACAUUUGCGGUACAUGAACACAGGAAGGGGAGGGCACAUCUCUGUAUUGUUUGCAUGUGCUGGGCUUAAAAAAUGAAUAUUACUGUGCUUUUAAGGUAGAUUAUGCCAACGAUGUGGCUUAAGUAGUGAUUUCUGCCAGUGUCAGGGUCCUGGCUAGAGACAGGAGGAACAGGCUAUUAACACCUGCAAUGCCAAUGCUUUUUGUUUCUGGUUAGAGAGAAGCUCCUGCACCAGGAAACACACCAAAGCAGAUACCAAGGACUGGGGAGAAGGGUGUGGUUUCCCAAAUAGACGUGUAAAUAUGGCAAGAGUUGGUGCCUUUUUAUCUGAGAGUUGGUGCAAUAGAACCCAGUGACUCAGUCAAUCUGGGAAAGAGCCUCAAUGCUGUCAGUUAAGUCAUCAUUUCACAUGGAGCUUUGCUGCAAUUUUCACUGCAGUUUUUGUGAACUCAAUUAACUCGUAUGGAACAUUGCUCCAGCUGACUAGAUGCAAAUGGUCCUGGUUAUCAUAUGGUAACUCCCACCUAACAGAAACUUGCUUUUUUUUUUUUAAUGUAAGUUCUAUGCCAAGUCACAUGCUGUUACCAAUUGAGCCAUCCAGGCACUCCAAAAUGGUGACUCUUUACAAAAAAUAAAUAAAUUAACUCAAUGUGGGGCUCGAAUUCCCAACCUCAAGAUCAAGAGUUGCAUGCUCUACAAACCGAGCCAGCCAGGAACUGUUGCUUUUGAAUGUUCUGUCUCAGAGCCUGUUGUUCUGAGACAGUGGUCUUUAAUUCAGAGCAUCAUGGGUGGCAUUUUGAGUAUCAUUCCUAAGAUAUUGGUACCACAGUUCUGUUUUCUUACAACUAUCCCUGUCUGUCCUCACCUGAACAAAGGCCCUAGUUUUAAUGAUGGCGUCCACAUGUACACACAGACAUAAAGGGUUCAUUAUUUCUAAUCGAAGAACAGAAACUUAGAGAAAUAAAGCAUUACCUGCCAUUUUCGUGAUCAACACUUGCAAUAGAGAGCAUAAAUGCUUCACUUUACAGAAAUAGCUAGACCUUUGUGAACCCUCCCAGUGAUUAAUUAGGAAGCCUGUCUUACAGAUUUUUCUCUCAGGUGUAGUAACCUUGUAGCCCUUACCAUUAAGAACUAAUAAAUAAAUGCUUGGUUAAGCAUAAACAGGGUGAUAGGCAGUGAAAGAAUGAUGAUCUUGGUUUUUAUGCAAUAUGCUCACUCUGUCAUUUUACCUUGGAGGACAAAAUAAUAUACAGAACCAAAAGUUACAAAAGCAACUACAGUGAGCAAUUUGUUAGUAUCCACUUAAAAAUGUUAAUAGCCCUCACUAUGAAAGAUCUUUGUGGUUAAUCAUGUAAUAUGAUUAAUUCUAAAAAAUUCAUGAUUUUAAGAAAGUGUUUCAAAUUUUGCAAUUAAACUGAAGACAUGUACUAGGUAAAGACAUCUAGAGGGUGAUCAGAUGUUUAAAUUUACUGUAAAAAUAGGAAGUAAACUAGAUCACAAAGCAAGUACUCAAAAUCACAUGGAAGCCUGCCCAUUUAGCAAAUAUUUGAGUAGCCGAUUUGCACAAAUGUUGUAAGUGACCUAUCAUAUUAAACACAACUCCUCAUCUCCUUCCCAUAUAUUUUAUGCCAGUAAACCCAGAUAACUGCCAAAGGCUCCCAUCAUCCUUUUUAAAUAAACUUUAGAAAGUAAUAUGUCAAGCUGGGAACUUUGACAAUCAUGAAAUGUCAUCUUAAUCUUCAAAAUUUUAACUUCUUUCAUGAACAUGACAAUAAAAAGUAGUUAACGUCAUUACAGCUUUGCAGUCAGAAUCCCACAAACAUGACAGUGUACUUAGAAAAAAAAUUCAAACUAGCUGAUGACAAAAUAUUUGGAUAACUAUCUGAAUCUAUAAAUAACUAAUUCAUCCUAAAAGGAUCUUUAGAGCAGCAACAAAUUAUUUUAUAAAAUCUAGGACACAAUAUGUGAGUCAGAUCAUUCACUUUUGUUCCUGGUGCAAUGUGGGUUAUGAAAAUCUGAUAAACUUGUACUUCUUUGAAAAUUGCCAGCUCAGUCAAGAAUUUCCCUUAAACCAAAAUAGGACUUGAGACAUACACAAAAAUAUAUUCUUUAGGUAGAAUAAAGAGUUCAGAUCUACAUUUUGCUCUCUCAAGCCCACAAAAAGUAUCUCCCAAAGAUGCUGCCUUAUAUCUUGAAUAAUUCCUAAAUAAAAAAUUGCUGAUUUACUUGGAUAAGAGAGCCCUGGAUUAGGUGUGAACAGGGAGUAAGAGAGCUACCUAAAAAUAUCACAGAUCUUUGCAAAUCCUCUUUCUGUUACACAGAAUGUUAGCAUGGCCCUUGCAUUCAAACAAAUGCAAAAAACUAAAGACCAUUAAAUAAACUGUAAGCUCUUUUUGCAAAAAACAACUUUAGCUUUCUUUGUAAUUCUUCCAAAGAUUAACAUGGUGCCACUGUGAGCUUCCUACAUACACUGAUCAAAUGGGUCUUACCUUCCCCCACCCAGGAACAAAUGAAAAGGAAGAAUAUCCAAAAGACAACAUCAGAAAGAUGCUCCGGUUUUCUGGGUAUUUAAUUAAUAUCCACUUUUCUGGAUAUUUUAAACUGUUCAUUAAUAAAACUAUUUAUAUGCUCUCAUCUAUAGAGAGCAGUUAAUAGUGACUAAAAUCUCACUACCCAGAAAUAACUUCAAUAUUUGGUGAAUGUCUUUCUAAGCAUCUAUGUUCAUACAAAAACAUAGAAAAAUUUUUAAAUAGGAUAAUUUUAUAAAUGAUGGCUUUAAUAACAAAUAACAAAGAAAAAAGUGAAGUGAAAGGGAAAAAUGGACUUCUGAGAACUGUUUCCUCACUGAAUUGUUAGAAUUCCUUAAAAAAUCCUUUAAAUUUAUUUAAGGAAAAAAAAUACUAUGAAAGAACUAGAAGUGGCUGAAGUCCGUGCUUAAAAAGCAUCUCUUGAAAGCAGAAGGAAAAGGAUAUGCUGACACAUCAGUGGUCCUGCCUACCACUUCCCUUUUUCUCCACUCUUCAGUAGUUUAUGUAUGUGUGUGGGCACACUUAUGUAUGUAUUUACACUUUCAGGAUUUAUAACAUUCAACCACAUAUCUAGAUUUCCAUAAUUGUUUAAUCUUAGCUAUUUUUAUCAAGUGUUUUAUUUGGAUUCAUCUUUUGCUAAUAAUAAUUAGCAUGGGUGCUCCAGUCCCUAAAUUCUUACCUGCUUUAGAAUGUUGUCUUUAUAUAUGAAAGAUAACUUGCCUAUGAAUGAAAUUCUUAGAUCAAAUUUUUUUUGCCCCUGGAAACUAAUAGGCACAGCCCCACUGUUCUCUGUCAUUAAGUGUUGCUUUGAAGAAGUUUAAGACACACCUGGUUUUCUCCUUUAUGAGACUUAAUUUCUCAGGCAUCUCUAAGAUGCCCAAGUAAUUUUAUCCUUAAAUACCAGAAAUUACAUUAGCAUAUGUUUUGGUGUUGAUUAUUUUGUAUUAAGUUUUCUCACAUAUAAAGGGCCUUUGGCAACAUACAGAUCAAAUCUUUCUUUAGGAAUGUUUUCUUAUAUAUUACAUCAUUUUUCAUUCCAUUUGUUCUAUUCAGAAAUUUUUUGGUUGUUGAACCUCCUUUGUCUGCUAUAUCUAUCAUUUCCUUUAUAAUAAAUUUUAUAGUUUUAUCCUAAUUUGGUUUGUGAGAUUUAUCUUCCACAAUUUAAUUUCUCAAUUCUGAUCCCCAUGACUUUAUUUUCAGGAGUAUUCAGUUGAACAACACAGAGGUUAGAGGCACAAAUCCCCCGCAAAGAGCUGAAAAUUCAUAUGUAACUUUUGACUCCCCGAAAACUUCAUGGAAGCCUUACCAAUUAUAUGAACAGUCAAUUAAUGUGCAUUUUGCGUAUUAUAUGUAACAUAUACUGUAUUAUUACAAUAAAGGAAGCUAGAGAAAAUGUUAUUAAGAAAAUUCUAAGGAAAAGAAAAUACAUUUAUAGUGUUAUAAAAAAAAGUGGUUUGCACAGUUCAAAUCCAUGUUAUUUAAGGGUCAACUAUAUAUUCUAAUUUUUAUUGCCUUUAAGGGGGCUUCCAAGUCUAUAAUGAUUUCUACUUUUUCCAUUUUUCCCGAGUUAUCCAGCUCAGUUUUCAUUUUAUGUCAUUGUACCACUUUUUUGAAUUGUCCUUUGAUUGUUUUCAAGAGGUCAUGUUGUCUGUAAUUUCUUUGAGACUCUGGAGAAUUAUUUUUUUGAACACUUCCUAUGUUUCUCUGUGCCAUCCUUCGUCCAAUGCAUACUCUUCAUUUGUCUUUCAUUUUCCCUUUUUCCCCGAGUUUUAUGUGUAGGUCAUAGUUGGGUUUUUCAUGCUCAUAAGGUAAACUUUCUUAAGGACAGGCUAUUUCUUUUUGUUGUUUAUUUGUGCUCUGGCUUCUUCAAGCCUCUCUGAAAUUAAUAUAUAAUCUGAUUAUCAUCAAGAGUUCUUGUAAUACUUGCAUCAUGAAUAUCUUGAGGUCAGUGUUAACAACCUUUCAUCCAAUGCUUCAGUGUUUCUCACACAUCAAAGGUUUCCCAAAAACUCCUACCAUGGGCUGGCUGAUUCUCAUCUCUCUUCUUUUCUCAAUGCUUAUCUAUCACACUCCUUCAGGCUCCUCUGAAAGUCUAAUCACUGUUCAUCAAACAUUUGUGGGCUAACCUUUCACUCCACUUCUGUCUCCAAGUGACAUGUGAUGUUUGUGAAAACAGUUUUAGGGCAUUAAUACACCUCUGGAAUGGAGGACUAAGCAAAGGAUCAAAUUGACUCUAUUUUAUUAAACACCACGUUGCUGUUCUUUUUUGGUUAGAGAAGUGGAGAGCGUAUUUUAAAGGUAGUGUCCUUCUUAGUUCUUUAUUUUGACAUGGUUAUAUGUUUUUGUAUCAGGGAUUAUCGUGUUUCUUUUACUCUCCAAUUCAGAUAUUGAGUCAGCAAUGUUCUUUUCUCCUAAUUAGGUUUUAGUUAUAUCUAGGGGCUCCCUAGGUGCCUGUGGCCAAGAACUCUAAUAUAAAUAAAAAUGCAAUAUAAUUUUCUGUUCUAUUAUAAUUAUCAACUGAGUUAAACCUACUGAGAUGACUAUUAAGCUGCAACACAAACUUUGUGAAAUGUGUGGCCCCUGAAAACAUUUUUUACCUCAGUCCUAAAACGACCCAAGUUGUCAGAAAGGGGUAAGCUUACAUAUCACCUUCUUUUUAAAAGCAUACUUUCCCAGACCUUCAGAACUUUUCCAAGCCACUCUGCCCUGGCUGUAGUCUGCCCUAAUUAUCUUUGGCAGUGAAGGAAACUAAGAGGCAUCUCCUCAGCUCCUGCUCCUCAUCUAGAGUGUUGUAACUGAAGACAGAGGCAGAUAAAGGACUAUUCUUCUAACUAGAACAAGUUUGGCUUGAGUUAUUUUAUUUUUUCAAGUAUUAUAUUCUCAAGUAUCCUGCAAACAUUCUUUCCCUGUAUUUCUGUGGUGCCCAAACAAACAGGAACAUCAUAGAUAAAAGGGGGUUUUAAAACAAUAACCACAAUCAUACAACAUGGUAAGUAAAUAAUAAUAUAUUGCAUAUUUGAAAGUUACUAAAAGAGUAGAUCUUAAAAUUCCUCAUCGUGAAAAAAAAUUUUGUAACUAUGUAUGAUGACAGAUGUUAACUAGACUUACUGUGUGGCGAUCAUUUGGUAAUGUAUACUAGUACUGAAUCAUGUUGUGUACCUUAAACUAACAUGUUAUAUGUCAACUGUACCUCGAUAAUAAACAAUUAUAACAGGCUAAGGAGACAUACUGUUUUCACGACUGACAAAACUGAUAGCAUUCAUCCACUUUUGUAUCUCAUCUUUCAUGUACUUCCACAAUAUAGGGAGGCUCCAAGUAAAACACUUCUUUGCUUUACAAUCAGGCUGAACUUAUUCCUUAAAUCCAAACUGUGGCUUCCAUGUUUUAUGCUAUAUUAUGGUCUAUGAUAUUAGUAUUAAAUCAGACAUAAACAAUUAUAGCCAUUGACAGUUAAUCAUCAUACAAAGCUAUCAAAUAUGUAAGUCCAUAUAGUUCAUGGUAUUUUUUUUAAAAAACUAAGAAUAUCUAAAAUAUUUACAAAACAAAUGGUUUUUAGUAGCUCUACUGGUUUGUAAUACUGUAAUGUACUUUAUUUUCCAGCAUAAUUAAUACAUUUUAAAUAUCUGUUUCAGCUCAAGACUUAAAAUAUUAACAAAUAUUCUUUCAGGGAAAAUACCAUUAAAGCAAGCUUAGAAACUCUAACUCAGUAACAUUUUACAGACAAACUGCAGUUAAGUAAAACAAACAAAUAAACAAAAUAACAGGCCUCAUGUAAUUUUGCUUACAGGGAAACCCAUUCCAAGAUUCUAAUGAGCAUUCCAAGCACACAGUGAGAGAGAACCCUUAUCUUUGUGAAUGACUUCAAAGUAUAAAGCUUGGGUUUGAAUUAACUAACAUCUAUUAUUCAACAGUUCAGUUCGACAGACAUUUACUAUACAUAUAGCACAAGGCACUGAGUUAGGUGGUAUGAGGUAUAAACAGACAUAGAAGACAGGCCUCAAGGAGUGAACAAGCCAGUAACUAGGAGAUAAAGCAUGCGUACAGGUCACUGCAAUAGCAGACAGAAAGUGGUGAUGCUAUGAAAGGUAAAAACGAAAGGCUGGGUUAGCAGAGAAGCCGGAAGAUUCACUUUUAGCUGGGAGUUAAUGGAGAAGGCUUUGUGUAGGAGGGAGCAUUUGAGUUGAACCUCAGAGGAUAGGAAAGAUGGGGCAGGGACCUAGGAAGGGCACAGCAUGAUCAAAGUCUUGCAAAUGUGAAAGGAGUAGAGAGGUUUUGAACAAAUGGAGCAUAGCUUGUCCAUGGGAAGACGUGUUAAGGUUGGAAAGAAGCUAAUGUUUACACCUGAAAAUGGAUUGGGGUUUAUUCACGUAAGAAAAAGUGGUUUUCCAUGUUCCCUGUGCAUUCAGAAUCCCUCUGGAGAUCCAGUUAAAAUUCCAGUUCCAAGGCCCAUCCCAGAUACUGGUCUGUGCAUGUGCAUUUUCAGUGAGCACUCUAGAUCGCUCUGAUCUGUGGUCCUUAGAACUACACUUUGUGAAAUACCUGUGUGGGACCUGGAAAGCAGUUCUUCUGAAUUUAGAAUAUAUUUUUAGGUAAUAGAAACUUUGCAUGUUUUUUGAACAGGGAAAAUUUGGUUACAGAAACUCUGGUUGUUUCGAUUUGUUUAUGGCACUAAAUAUUUUUUUUCUAUUAUGAAAGCAGAUAAUGAGCCCUUAAAAGGAUAUUGAUAAAAUGUAAUCUCUCUCUCUCUCUCUCUCUCUCUCUCUCACACACACACACAAACAGCCUACACCUCCAGAUGUAAGAAAUUUCUCUUCUACCAAAAAGAGUGUUCAGAAAAUAAGCUGUGCAAGCCCAAGAAUUCUGCAGUUUGAAGUGUCUGUAUUCAGAAGCAGCGUGAAACAUCAAAUGCUCUGCACAUCAGUAGGUUUGGGUAGAAGAGAAAUUUAAAUAAGGGAUGAACUACGCUGUGAAGCAGUAAGAAGGACUUCUAUGUAAUCUGACCUGUCAGUGUUAAGUUGAAAAGGGGUGUGCUCAUGCUUACAUAAAUCUUCAUGCUGCUUUUACUAAUUAACAUGUGUAAAAAUCAUAGGAAAAUUUUCCACAGGAGAAGGUGAUGCCUCUCCUUACCCCUUUAUAAUUCAUUUUUCUUCUAAGCUUUUUUAAUGGUGGCUGGAAUCCUGCAGUAGGAAUCACAUUCUUGAUUUUUUGACAGCAUUGCCACAUUUUCAUCCUUUUGGUGUUUCUUAAUUUCCGACUCUGCAUUUUGACAGCUCAACCCUGUUGAUUAAUGCCUUGUAGGAACCCCUAUAUGGCCUGCCUGUUAGCGAUCUAAUUUUGUGCUGGAAUGCCUGGGCUGGUAUGUUGAACCGAUUCACCACCCAGGUGGCUACAUUUGGACUAAAUGAGCUGUGAAGGGUUUCAUCUUUGCCCAUCACAGUCUUCCUUAGCUGAGCCCCACAGUAUGCAGCCACCGCUUCGACAUGAUUUGUCACAACCCAUCAAUAGAAAAUAAAUUAUUGCCAUUCUCACUUGUCAAUGGGCUUGUCUUCACUUCGGCUGGCCUAAUGAUUGGAAGCUCAAAGGGAACAUUUCCCAUCUUUGUGGAGCAUGAUUAUGACCGAAUGCACUGCUCCCCUAUGCAUCUUGGCCAGUAAAAACACGUAGGGAAAGCAAAUUAAUUGGCUGUUUUGCGCCAGUGAUUAGAACAUUACGCUCGAAGUCUGCAGAAACUGAUAUUAGGCAAGCAAGAUUAGGUCGGUUCUGACUUUUAUUUGCUUAGUGCAACAUGAUUAGCAACUGCUUCAUUCAAGGUUAGUGCUCUUGCUGCUGAAGAAAAUCUUCAUAACAUAAUGAUGCUGCAUACCUUUAAGCUGAUAAGCAUGUUCCAGGCAGAAAUCAAAAAUCUCUUUGGGAAAGGAAGCAAAUGAGGAGAUGUAACAGAGAACUCAUCAAAUGGCUUUAGAGCCAUUCUUAUGUCUGGCACUUUUGAAAAUUAUAUUCCUAGGAAACCCGCUCUGCAAGCUAUAUUUGCAGAAUGUAGAGAUGGUAAUUGUGUCAGUUCACGAGACAAAGAAUAAAAGUACCCAAGGAGCAACACGAAGUAGAAGGUGACACCUUUCAAUGAACUAACUAAAAAUGAGCUUGCUUUAAAAGAAACCGAAACUCUUCUUUUUUACAAACUACAGAAAGAGCAGGAAGAGCAAAGGAUACAAUGGCAGGGCAUCAAGUUAGACCUCAUAAUUAAAAUCAGAGAUACAGUAGAUCAAAGAGGAAACUGUAUUUAAAAAAUUAGGUCUAGGGUGUGGAUUUGAGUUUCCCAGUUAACAGCUUUGCCUGCAGUAUAAUGACAAGGGGCUUUAUCUAACAGAACAAUAAACAAAGAUGCAGUGUACAAGUAAAAGAAUGCCUGACACUUUAAUUAUUUUAAAUAUGGCGUUGUUUUAGAUUUGGGCCAUGUCUACAAAACUAAGCAGUUUUUUAUGAUUGCCCUAUCUUAUCUACCACCACCACCUAGGAAUGAGAGAGGGAAACAUACUGUGAAUGAAAAUCAAAAUGUGAGUUCCCAACUUCCACUCUCUCUGGCCUUCUUAGUAAAUCUUUUGCCAUCUCAUUGUUUGUUCUUUAGCCCAGAGACAGAUGCCCCAGGAGUACAACGAAAUCUGCAAAGGAUACACACUUUAGAAAUACUAUUAAGUGUACUUUCAUGUUUGUUUAAUGUAGCUCAGGUCUCACCUCUGCCACAGAACUUGACGCAUGUGGUUUAAGAACACUAAAAUGCUUCUGCUCAGUACCAACAGAACUGAGGGAUGCAGGGAACUUUUUCCCUACAUCAUAAAUAUUUUUGUUUACCAAACCUUUAGCAUUUUCUUCCUCUUUUCCUAGCAUGAGUUACUGUCUUCUGAUCUUCGGAGACAUAAGGUUCUUGAGCUCCCAAGUCAACCUCUUUGUCUUCUGGAUUAAGGUGACAUGUCAUCUUGGAGAACUCCUCCUUUCACAGGAAUAUGAAUGUUUUCUAAUGGGAGGCAUUUAAAAUGCCUUAGUUGAAGACUGAUUCAAAGAAAAGCUCUUUUGGAUUCAUCUCAACAUCUAUCAGACAAUCGACAUCUUUGAAGGAGACUUGACAUGAAGGCACAAAAGUCACCCUGCUUCAGCUGGGCCAACCUAUGGGUAAUGUUUGAAGUCAGUGGAAGCUUUGCAUUUUGGGAAGGCCUAUCCAGGUGUUAAUAAAUAUGAGAAAUGGGCUCAGAGCUGUGUGUAAAUGAAUAGGUUGCAUGCACUUGAAGGCAGUCUUACAGGAACACAUUGAGAGAUCUGGCAUUCUUAAAAUCAAGCAUAUGUCAUAUCAACAUUCCUAGUACAAAGUAUUUUGUUACUGUUUCUGUGCUCUAAAUAGCCCCAUGCAAAGGCACAUCAUUGAACCAAAGCAUAUGGAGGCGGCUAUUCAGUUAUGCUGAGCUGUGCUUCAGUAUCAAAUCACUACCGCCUUCCUCACCUUUUUCCACACAUUUCCAGAAAUGGAAAUUUCUGCUCAGAAAUUCUACUAUAGCAAAGAAAGAAGUAAAUACAUGAGGGUGGAUUCCAUUUCUCAAGACAUAUCAAUAUGAACCAGUGCUAUUGUCUGUUUCCUGCUGAAUCAAUAAAACAUAGGCACCUAUGCCUUAAGGAAACAGUAACUCUUUAAAUUGCCCUUUAUAUUUACAAUUACUUAAUGACUGUAUUUUGCCAAAAAUAAAGGUCAUUAAAAUCAUCUUGAAGCUUCACUUAAAUUUCAGAAGUAGCCUACAACUUGUACAGUCUUUAACUAUGUUCCAUUUAACACAUUUAAUAGAUGUAAAAGCUCACAAGUGAUGAUAUAAAGGAUAAUUUACGCUUGCAAUGCAUUUUUGUCCAAUUAAUAGAUUGCCUGCGUGUUGCAUAUUUUGCAUGACAAAAGAGCAGAAUAUUAAACUGCCAUUCAUAAUGAAAAUGCACUUUGCAAAUUAAAAGUGCCGAAACAGAAAUUUUUCACCCUGUUUAGGAAAUAAACAGUCCUUAACCAAUUAAACUGCAUUGUAAUAAUUCUAUGAUUUAUUGCAAGUUGUUUAACUUUCAAAACUCGGCUAACCCAUAUUAAGGUCACAAUCCAUCAUGUCUUGCUUGGAAAGCCAGCAAAUAAUGGCUGUUGUAUUAGCUGCUUUUGAUGAUAGUAUGAAAGAAGUAUUAGCACUUGUCAACAAAACUGCUUACAACAUAACAUUAGCAUGCAUGGGCUGCUGUACCUAUUUAUUAUUCUGGCAGCUUCACACAUAUUGUUACAAGCUUAUAAAACAUUUUGUCGGGUGGAAACCGAAUGUACACUGUUUGGUUUUCUGAUAGACUGGCAGCAUAAAUGUCUGGGCUGACUUAGUUUAGUUUAAGUGUAAAUAGAGACACAAAUUCUUCAACCUGUUCUCUUAUUGAUACUGAAAAGUGCUGAAUUAUUCAGCAUCCAACUCUUCUGUUUGUGUCUAUCACAGUUAUCAAUUACCCAUCAGUCUUCUUGUCAAAACAGAAUGGAUUAAUCUGGCUGAAAAUAAGACAAAUAAAUGGAUACUAUAACAGGGGUGCGGGGUUGCCAGACUGUCAAAGGGAAAUCCAGGCAGUGACAUUUGCCGUCAAAAAUGGGAUCUCUGGCUUAAGUGAGCAAAUGAUUCCCCUUUGCGAGCCAAGAAUGCACUUAGCUCACCGUAAGUAAAUUAAUCUGCCUUCUUUGACUGCUAAUGCAUUAGCACUGAGGUAAUAGUUCCAUUGCUGGAAUUCCUUUACAUUUAAAUAAUUUUGGUCAUCAUUAUUGUUUCUCAAGGAAAUGCAGAUACUUUAUCUUGGUAGAGAGGCCUGCCUGGUAAAUAAAUGAACCCAUUUAACAAUGAAGUUAUUGCUGAUAGUUUUGUGCCACUUCAUAGCUCUCAGCUCAUGUGAUACUAAGUAACUCUUUGCACAGAUGGCUGGUGGAACCCAUCCAGCAUCUGCAAAGUCCAUCCCUGUUUUCUUUCCCAAACAUUUUAUUUGGAAAUCUUGUUUGGCAAACUUCCCGAGACUCUGCCUAGCUGUUCAAAGUACAUAUUUCCAAUCUAUCUCAUUUGGCCCUUCUAUAAAAAAAGAGCCAGCAAAGUGCCUUCUUAUUUGGCACAAAAAAGGCAGCCGCCGACUGAAGCAAGUUUUAGGUUCCUGGCCAAAAAUUUACAAGAAUUUUAUCUUAGAUGCUUCUAUACUGGACUGUUUUACACAGUCAUCAUUAACAUCUGAAGCCGUCACAUUGUGACAGGAUCAAAACCCCCAAUCUGUAUCAACUGAUAGCUUCACUUUGCCAAAAGCUCCCACUUGUUCUUAUUUUCCCAGACAUCUGCACCCCAGCUUUUGUGGACACGGUUCUUACUUACACUGUGGGAUGGUGAGGUAUCUAAGGUGAGCUACCUGCUAGAAAAUUCAUCCACUUGAUGAAUGAAUACAUUAUUUUUGAAUGAAAUAAUCAUCUUUUGUUUGUUUUGCCAAAAGACGGUGUAAAGAAUAAUUUCAAGCAUUUAAAAACCAAAACCCUUCCUAUAGUUGGGGAGUUCAAAAGAGGCCGCGGUAACAAUUACAUUCUAAGCACAACUGUCACAGUUCUCUAAAGACUUUGACAGACUGGAAAUUUUGGUCUCACAUUCCCAGAACAUGACCUCAAAUUUCUCCUCAAUGUAAAUCACUUUCCCAGAACUUCAGCAUUUAAGGGAAAUGCACAUUGGCCUGUUGUGCAUUGGCCUGAUUCAUCGUUGCUAAAUCUCAUCCGCUGGUAUAUAAUCCCAAAAUGACUUCAUGAAGGCAGCUACUGAACAUGUGCAAACACUGAACCUUCUCUUGAAAUGAGGCAGCAUUUUUGUUGCUAGUCGAUUUACAGUUUUACUUUGUCACUCUCGUCCUUCUUUUCUUUUUAAAUAAGUAACUGCUGGGCCACCUCGGUGGCUCAGAUUCAGCAUCCAACUCUUGAUUCUGGCUCAGGUCAUGAGCCCAAAGUCAUUAGACUGAGCCCUGUGACGGGCUCUGCAUUGAGUGUGAAGACUGCUUGGGAUUCUCUCGCACUUCCUCUCCCUUCGCCCCUCUCUCCCUUGUAUGUGUCUCCUCUUGCUCUCUCUCACUCUCACUCUCAAUACAUAAGUAAGUAACUCCCUACUACAGAAAAGUAGCAUCGUACAAAAUUUUGCAUGGCUAGCAACUAAGUUAAUUGACAGGUGUAUAUCAUGAACUUUUUUCUACAUGUCAUUUCCCAUUCUUUGAGGAACUCUUCAAAAAUAUAUGCCUGCCAUCUCAGAUCCAGUUUGUCCAAGUCUAGACAUUCUCUCCCACUGGUUCCCUUUUACCAAAAUCCCCCAUCAGUUGCUAAGCCCUACACGGUCUGCCUUUACAAUGUCUGUUAUUUUCUCUUCAAUUAUGACUGUCACCAUGCUUGUGCAGUCCCUGCCGAGUCCUUCAUACGUUCAUGCAUGUACCAGUUCAUUGAUUCCACAGUUCUGUGAGGGCCUAAUACAGGUAGUCUCUCUGCCUCAAGUCUUUUCCACACACCUCCCACUCUGGCUGCCUGCCCUCAGCGUGAAGUGCCCUCUGGCCAUCCUGCCCACCCUUUAUGUCUCAGUUCAAAGGCAACCUCUUUGAACAUUUUUCCUACUCCCUUACCCAUGUGUUAUUUCUUAUGUCUUCGAGUCUCUUGAGCAUUUGUCUCUCUCCUUUAUCACAACAUGCUAGAAUUCCUACUCCUGCCACCUCCCAGCUAUGUGACCGUGGGAAGUUAUGUAACCAAAUGAGGCCUCAGUUUCUCCUCUAAAAUCGGACAGAUUAUUACUCCAUAGGGUGUGAGAUUAAAUGAGGUAAUGCAUGGAAAAUACUUAGAACAAUGCCAGUGAACAUUCAAGUUCUUGUUAUAUUCUUAUAUUCGGUAAGGACUGAAAAAUACUUGUUGUGACAUUUGUAUGUCGAGAGAAAACAACUGUAAUUGCCUUGGGUGUUUUUGAAGGUCUUAAAGCUACAUUUACUUACUGUCCCAGGUAGAGGACCAGGACAUCCAAUUCUGAGCUGGUCACUCUGGAGUCAUACUGCGUGUCUUUGCAGCCUGGCCCUUACUAGCUCUUUUUUUUUUUUUUUUUUAAUGCAAAGUCAGGCAGUUUAAAGUUUCUAUACUUCAUAGAUAGUUGUUAAGAUCAGCUGAAAAUAAAAGGCUUAGCAGUGCCUGAUCCAUAGCAAGACCUCCAUAAGUGUAGCCUGUCAUUACACUAGAGGGGUUUCAAAAUGCUCCGUGAUCUAAUUCUAGGUGGUGAGAGAGGACCAUCAAAAUGAAUGUAUAAUUCCCCGAAUUACUGUCUCAUCCUUCUUAAAGGCUUCCUGAAUAACACUUCUCCCAAACCCAGUCUGUCAUGUAUCUCCCAGACUGUCUAAAAACUACCAAAUUAUAUCACUCUCCAAACAGGGGGUGAGUCUUAUGCUCCCUCUACUGGGACACUGACCCCUCUUUUCUAGCUUUGAGAGUGCUUCCUAAUCAUCUUCUCUCCUCUGAAAUGUUAUCCCUCAUUUUCUCCCUAAGAUGCAUCAUUUAUCCUCUAACAGUUCAGUUAUUGUCCUCCUGGGUCCAUAAACUCUCAAAAAGGCCAAUCUUCCUGGCCGUGUAUCUUCUCUCAUGUUGAUCACUCCCUUCCCCACCCCUCACAUCUGGAAACAUCCACCCUAUGGCCAUCCAUCUUCCAUAUUUCUAAGUUUAAGAAGCUUGCUUCUGCCACAGACUUUCCAACUAACUUAGUCUUCAAAGAUCUCUCUCUCUCUCUCUCUCUCUCUGUCUCACUCAUCUAAAUCUCUGAAGCAUUUAUAGGUUUUACCACACAAUUUAACUAUUAAUUACAAAUUGUCUUGCAGCAUUUGCUAUGUGUUUUCCUCUCCAGAGAUAUUUCACUAUCUCUCUUGUUUCCUAACUCUCUCUCUUUCUCUUUUUCUUGGCUAAUCCACAAAGCUUUCCGGAUAAUCUUCCUGUUCUGUCAUGAAGACCAUGCCCUUUGUGUGCCAACUGUCCUUGCUAUUGGCCAAAUCUGUUUUUAUGUACUAGAAAGAAUUUUCCCUCCUUUCAAAUUAUAUUUCUGCCACUUCUUAGAAUAAAUGACAUCUUUAUUCGACAGUUGGCCUUACCUGAUUAUGGCAGCGCUAUGUUUUCCGGAAGAAGCGUGGACUUCAAAGUAUUAGAGGUUAAGGUAUGAAUCUUGGUUUUGCCAUGUAACCUUGGGCAAGUCACUUUUCUGAGCCUCAGUUUCAUUCAAUAUGAAAAUACUAAUACCUAGCUCACAAAAAAGAUAUGAGGAAUAUAGGAGAUAAAUAAUAUAAAGUACCUGAGAAAUAAUAGGGAAUCCAUUGUAGAUACUUAACCCUUCCAAUUAAUAUCAAACCAUAUUAACAGUAUUUACCGUGUAUCCUCAUUUAUAUACAUAUUGAUACAAUCAUGACUGUCUACAUGUUUAUGCUGGAUGCUUAUGCAUACAUUUAACAUCUUUACAAAACUAAUUUUUAAGAGUAGCAUACAGUAUUUUUAAACUUAGAACUAAGUGCUUUGUCACGAAACGUGUAGAAGCCAUAACUUACUAGUUAUUCAAAGCUGAUUAACAUCAGAAAUUACCUUUCAAAUGAAACACUGGUCUCAUUUCUCCCUCGCAUUUAAGGAAAUAGAAGGCCAAAGCCUAAAAAGUCCCUCGAUUAAGGAUAAAAUGCAGAGGAGUGCAACUACCAUACACAUGACUUGCCUUCUUUUGCAUUCUAGAAAUGUAUUUCUAGAUUUUUUUUGCAUUUUUUGCAUUCUAGGAAUGUAUUCCAAGAUAAUGAGGCAGUGUUUUGCAAGGUAUCUAAUGAAAAUUUCCUUUAGAGCAGUCACAAUUAUCACGCCAAAAUGAAUCUCAUAACUGAAAUUACCUCCAAAUUUUUAAUAAUUCCCUCAGCAAACACUUGUUCUGGUUGGGUAUAUCCAGACUUUAGUUGAGAAAUGAGUGAUUUAAAACUAAAACGUGCUUUAAGCAGUAUUUUUGAGUAGAGAAAUCACAAUAAAGUGUCAAAUUCCUACGUUUAGAUAGAAAGUCAAUUUGAACCUUAUUUUCUUUUUCUCUUUCUUUCUUUCUUUCUUUCUUUCUUUCUUUCUUUCUUUCUUUCUUUCUUUCUUUCUUUCUUUCUUUCUAAUUUGUGAGGACAGUAUAAAUUGUUCAACCUAGUCCAUUUACUGGCAUGUCUGCUUCUAGCUACAGAUAUCUUCAUCUUCUGAGGGGACGAUCGAACCUCUGAGUCAGAGUUAGCAUGCAGGGGUUAAACUACCUCUAUGGGCAGGAUAGAGACAGAAACAAUCUAAAAUUUUAUAUGACUAAUAUAUGACUGAAACGCCAGUUUAUCACAUACGGUGGUAAAGGACAAGCUCUAUCUUCAGGGAUUCAUCCCUGAGUAUAAAAUAAGUCUUGAGAAACCACAAUUUUUACCAUUCGCUUUUGGGAGAAGGGGAAGCAGGGAAUAUUUUACUGCUCCCUCUUUAAACUCUUAUUAGAAGGGCUGCUGAGAAGUUCUGACUCAGCAACUUCCCCAGUUAUCUGGUCUUUUAAAAAGGUUCCAGUGUGACCUCAACUCUGCACAACACAGAUUUAUAAUCAGUCUUCUGUUUGGAAAGCCAAAGCUUUAGAGAAACUGAGUGAAUAAUGUCAAAAUAAUGGUAUUUCAGCUCAACAAUGAGAUUUUCUCCCAUAUAUAUAAAAACAGAUGCUGGGAACAAUUUUCAGGAGCAUUUUAUUGCUUUGAUGGUAUAAUAAAAUAUGAGGUUAUCAUAACAGUGAGCUACCUUUUCUCCUGGAAGGAAAAGGUACAGCCAAGUAUUUUCCUAAGUGGCAAAGUGGACAAGAGCUUCUCUCUGUCCUGUGUACAUGGUGUCUAGUCUCAGAAGUGAGAUUCCCAGAACAACAAUUUCUAUCAUGUUGUGAAAGAGGUUAAAAAUGUUCUUUCUUUAAAGACUAAUAGCACUGACAAGCUUAUUCUAGCAAACCAAGCCCCCUCUACUCCUUCCCUCAGGCUCUCUAAUUCACCCCCACCUGAAUUGGGUUUUGGGGAGGAGGGCUGGGGCACGUGGGAUACAAAUGGUAAAUAAGUAAAUGAAACUCCAUAGGAAGGCUCUUGAACUUGAAAACUGUUCCAUAUUUACUAUUUUGUUUAUCUUACAGUAAUUUUAUAGUAACUGUCCCCCUCAUUCCUAACUAUUCUAGAACUCUGCCAUAUUGAUGAUGACUUCAUAACAUGUACAUAUAGCAAAUGUUAGUUUUCUCAUAAUCCCCAUAACUGCUCUGCGAGUGAGAUAUUAAUGUUUUUGCACCUGAGCAAAACUGAGGCUCAGAGAGGUUAAGUGACUUGCCCAAGGUCACACAGUUAGCAAGUAGUGAAACCAAGAUUCAAACCUAAAACUUUAUGAUACCACAAUCCAUGCUCCUUCCAUACAAUGUCACAAUACCUCAAUUGGGAAAGGCUGGCUGUAGAAUAAAGAUGUCAUUUAUUCCAGGAAGUGGCUGAAAUACGGUAUGAAAGGAAUUUGAGCAUUUCCUCUGGUUCAUUUUCCCCCUUGUCUCCUAUAUCUUUUUAUUUUCCUCACCUCUUCAUUUUCCCCAUUUUUAUAAUUAAGUAAAAAGAUUUGUUCUUUGAGAGAGAAAAUGGUGGCAAAUGUUGUGCAGUUUCCUACUUGGUAGAAUGUGGGGGAAGCUUCUGAAUGGACCCUGACUAAAAAAGAAAAUACCUUCCAUUCACCUGCCAUAGCUGCUGAAUUCCCACCAUUAGAGAGGCACUCCUUUGGAUUAAAUGAACUUUGUCUCUCAAAGUUGUCUUGGAACAAGUAAGUUUAGCAUGUUAUUUACUAUCUUCCCCAAUAUUUAUGCACCCACUGUAAUCAAUCAUAGAACAUGCAACUUUUGGUCGCUAAUAAAGAAGCAUGAAAGGUUUAAAUGAGUCCUUUGUAGCAGAGAACAGAACAAGUUCUUUGAGAAAGGAACACUGAAAGGAGUAGAAGCCAGGAAGGAGUAUGGCGCUCUGUGCAAAGUAAUCUUGUAGCAUGUCAGCCUUUUAUUUAGGGUUGUGCGGAUCUAGGGGGAAAAGAGACAUGUGCAGACUUUUAAAUAAGGUUUAAUUUCAGUUAGGAUGCCAGGAGGCCUUCCCUGACUCCCCAGUAUCAGAUUACAUGUCUCUUCUGUGAGCAUUUGUAUAUACUUGUAUCUCCCCUUAUCAGAGCACAUCUUAUUUUGCUAUCAUUGUUUGUCUGAUUCCAUCAUUAGACCAUAAAUUCCUUGAGAACAUUCGUUCAUUCAAGGACUAUUUCCAGUGCCAGUGUCAAAUUCGGGAGAAAAAAAAAGCUAUAGAGAUUACAAUAACCAAAGGGUUAGAUUUAUUUUUUCACUUUGUAUUUGGAGGUCUUGUGUAGCUUGUGUAUAAGAAAAAAAAAAUCAAAACAUGCUUCUAUUUCAGGGCUCUGGAGAUGAGUAGAUAAGAUGUAGUUAUCUUUCAGUAGAAGGCCAUGGACAGUUACUGGGAAAAUAUAAAGGGAGAUAAAUGAAUAUAUUUAAGAAAUAUUUUUGAGGUAAGACUGAAACUCAAGAAUUUUUCAUUUUGGCUAAGUUACUAAGAACCUAUUUUAUGAUCCCGCUACUGACUCAAAAAAAAAUGUGUCGAUAGGUUCAAAAUGUUCAAAGUGUGGAUCCAAGUAUAGAAGAUUUUGAAAAACCAAAGAAAGCAAUAAAAUGGAAGAAAUGCAACAUACAAGUGGAAGAACGGUAAACUGAUGAAUUUUAGCGUUUUGCUAAAAUGCCAAAGAUUACCAGAUAAGAAGCAGUUUGAUAACGAUCUUUUAAAAUCAAUCACCCUUCCCAAAGAAACGUUAAGAAGCCGACAACAAAAGACCCUCCUACAGAAGAUUGUUUUGAAAAUUCAUCAGCUAUAAUUGUGAAAUCACUUCUUUAUCCUGAUCAGAAAAAUCCUGCUAUGAAAUAAACCCCGGCUGACCAGA